Molecule: ribosomal RNA, 484 nt
Filed under: uncultured bacterium
Lineage: Bacteria
Description: partial 16S ribosomal RNA
Rfam family: Bacterial small subunit ribosomal RNA
Source: RNAcentral
AUUGAACGCUGGCGGCAGGCCUAACACAUGCAAGUCGAGCGGAUGAAGGGAGCUUGCUCCUGGAUUCAGCGGCGGACGGGUGAGUAAUGCCUAGGAAUCUGCCUGGUAGUGGGGAAUAACGUCCGGAAACGGGCGCUAAUACCGCAUACGUCCUGAGGGAGAAAGUGGGGGAUCUUCGGACCUCACGCUAUCAGAUGAGCCUAGGUCGGAUUAGCUAGUUGGUGGGGUAAAGGCCUACCAAGGCGACGAUCCGUAACUGGUCUGAGGGGAUGAUCAGUCACACUGGAACUGAGACACGGUCCAGACUCCUACGGGAGGCAGCAGUGGGGAAUAUUGGACAAUGGGCGAAAGCCUGAUCCAGCCAUGCCGCGUGUGUGAAGAAGGUCUUCGGAUUGUAAAGCACUUUAAGUUGGGAGGAAGGGCAGUAAGUUAAUACCUUGCUGUUUUGACGUUACCAACAGAAUAAGCACCGGCUAACUUCGUG